GACGGAGGAUGCAAGCGUUAUCCGGAAUGAUUGGGCGUAAAGCGUCCGCAGGUGGCAGUUCAAGUCUGCUGUCAAAGACCGGGGCUUAACUUCGGAAAGGCAGUGGAAACUGAACAGCUAGAGUAUGGUAGGGGCAGAGGGAAUUCCUGGUGUAGCGGUGAAAUGCGUAGAGAUCAGGAGGAACACCAGCGGCGAAGGCGGCAUCCUGGACUGGUCCUGACACUGAGGGACGAAAGCUAGGGGAGCGAAUGGG
This 253-nucleotide ribosomal RNA is filed under the name uncultured bacterium. RNAcentral's name for it is "partial 16S ribosomal RNA". It matches the Rfam family "Bacterial small subunit ribosomal RNA", at positions 524 to 776 of the family's 1533-position model. The record is from RNAcentral.